RNAcentral lists this non-coding RNA (580 nucleotides) under Candidatus Sungiibacteriota bacterium. The record is from RNAcentral. Lineage: Bacteria; Candidatus Sungiibacteriota.
CUUUUACAUCGUUAUGGCCGCCCCGCACUUUUAUUAGCUUUUGAGCUAAUAAAAGUGCGGGGAGGAAAGUCCGAACACUUGACUCUUACAUGAGUUGUCGUGAUAGCGGCUAACGGCCGCCCCGAGUCGUGCAUGGCAUGGAAAUUCGAAAUUCGAAACCCUAAAUUCUAAACAAAUUCGAAAACUCAAAACUUCGAAAUUCAAAACGUUUAGGAUUUAGCAAUUAGGAUUUAGGAUUUGCGCGCUGUGCGCGGCCAAAGGUGAAAAGUAAUCCGCGAAGGAUUUCUCGUGAUUGGUAACAGUCACGAGUGGAAAACCCUAUCUAGUGCAAGGACAAACACCGUGCAUGGCGCGGAAAUUCGAGAUUCGAACCCCUAAAUUCUAAACAAAUUCGAAAACUCAAAACUUCGAAAUUCAAAACGUUUAGGAUUUAGAAAUUAGGAUUUAGUGUUUCCGCGCCGUGCGCGGUGACAAGUAGUCCGCUCGACCCCGAGAGUAAUCGAGGGGCUAGACAGAUGGCCAUACCGGCAAAUGAAAAUUUUGCCGAGAACAGAAUUCGGCUUAUGAAUGUAACAAGAUA